GGCCCUUGGCAAGUGUGCAUAUUGAUUUCGGCUCAAUAAGAAUGAUAAGAUCAUAGGGGUUU
Molecule: transfer RNA, 62 nt
Filed under: Xenostrobus securis
Lineage: Eukaryota; Metazoa; Mollusca; Bivalvia; Mytilida; Modiolidae
Description: tRNA-Arg
Source: RNAcentral